AAAUUGAAGAGUUUGAUCAUGGCUCAGAUUGAACGCUGGCGGCAGGCCUAACACAUGCAAGUCGAACGGUAACAGGAAACAGCUUGCUGUUUCGCUGACGAGUGGCGGACGGGUGAGUAAUGUCUGGGAAACUGCCUGAUGGAGGGGGAUAACUACUGGAAACGGUAGCUAAUACCGCAUAACGUCGCAAGACCAAAGAGGGGGACCCUCGGGCCUCUUGCCAUCGGAUGUG
Molecule: ribosomal RNA, 232 nt
Filed under: Escherichia coli
Lineage: Bacteria; Pseudomonadati; Pseudomonadota; Gammaproteobacteria; Enterobacterales; Enterobacteriaceae
Description: partial 16S ribosomal RNA
Rfam family: Bacterial small subunit ribosomal RNA
Source: RNAcentral